Molecule: ribosomal RNA, 709 nt
Filed under: Lutibacter sp.
Lineage: Bacteria; Pseudomonadati; Bacteroidota; Flavobacteriia; Flavobacteriales; Flavobacteriaceae
Description: bacterial SSU rRNA
Rfam family: Bacterial small subunit ribosomal RNA
Source: RNAcentral
GAUGAACGCUAGCGGCAGGCUUAACACAUGCAAGUCGAGGGGUAACAGGGUGCUUGCACCGCUGACGACCGGCGCACGGGUGCGUAACGCGUAUAGAACCUACCUUUUACAGGAGAAUACCCCAGAGAAAUUUGGAAUAAUGCUCCAUAGUAUUAUUGAAUGGCAUCAUUUGAUAAUUAAACAUUUAUGGGUAAAAGAUGGCUAUGCGUUCUAUUAGCUAGAUGGUAAGGUAACGGCUUACCAUGGCAACGAUAGAUAGGGGUCCUGAGAGGGAGAUCCCCCACACUGGUACUGAGACACGGACCAGACUCCUACGGGAGGCAGCAGUGAGGAAUAUUGGACAAUGGAGGCAACUCUGAUCCAGCCAUGCCGCGUGCAGGAAGACGGUCCUAUGGAUUGUAAACUGCUUUUAUACAGGAAGAAACACUCCCUCGUGAGGGAGCUUGACGGUACUGUAUGAAUAAGCACCGGCUAACUCCGUGCCAGCAGCCGCGGUAAUACGGAGGGUGCAAGCGUUAUCCGGAAUCAUUGGGUUUAAAGGGUCCGUAGGCGGGCUAAUAAGUCAGGGGUGAAAUCCAACAGCUUAACUGUUGAAUUGCCUUUGAUACUGUUAGUCUUGAGUUAUAUGGAAGUAGAUAGAAUGUGUAGUGUAGCGGUGAAAUGCUUAGAGAUUACACAGAAUACCGAUUGCGAAGGCAGUCUACUACGU